AGCCCCACGUAAAAUUAGGCCCUUCCAAAACCCCUUUACCCACGGAACAACGGGGGAAACGAAAACCAAAGCUGCCGAGAAGACCCGGGACCAGGUGGAAAAAGAAAAAGAUUAUUGGAAGGAUGUUUUUUUUGCCUUUUAAAGGAAAAUUUGCCCUGUGCUGAUACACACCUGCCUUUGUGUAAGUGUUUUCCUCUGUUAAGGUGGAGAAUGUAACAGUGAGGGCUGUGGUGAGGAUUUCCUUGCUUUCUUACCAGUGUGGUUAAAAGUCUCCUCGAUUCAGUUUAGUUUCACUGUAAAGCUGAAGUUUGUUUACGUAUUGUUUUGAAUUUACACGGCAGACGACUACCGAAGGCUUGACUAAAACAGGCUGAGCCAACAAGAAUAAAUCCAUCUCUUCUGACGCUUGAUGACAUUAGUGAUGCUGACUUUAUUCAGGGAUCAUUUUGGUUGAGCCCAGGUAAACCAGAGCUAGCACUGGAUAGGAAAUACUGAGUGGGAGGGAGAAUUCAUCAUUGUUUAUGGACAAGAGCACUGAUGGAUGACCAGUCUUAUGGUGGCAUUUUUUAAAGUCAUAAUCUUUCACCAUCUUGCAGGACCUACCUGAAUAUUUUUAAAUAUGUGAACACUGCCGAGUAUUACUUUUUUAAUUAUCUUAACUGGUUUGCUCACUGUCUUGGUAAUGUCUCACAUAAAAGUUGACUUAUUUGAGUCUCAGUCUUGAGAGUCUUGAGACUUUAUUAUUCUCAUUCUUUGUUUGCGCUGGACUGCAGCUCUUAAUGAAAGAUGUUUAUCUUUGUGUGGCUUCAGAGACCGAUAAAUAUGGGCUUAAUGUGAAAUCGUGGACCUCUCUGUGGUUUAGUGAAUAUUUUUAUACUGUGAAAAUUGUCCGUCCGCUGCUGAAAGCUUUAGUGAGUGUAUCUGAGACUGUGAGUGAGAAAUGGAGAUACAAGUGGUCAUGUAUGUGUUGAACUCUAGUGGUGAACAGAGAAAGAUUAAUGGAGGGAGCUGAAAGAUUUGAGCAACCCAGAAUGUAAGAGGAUGGUUUCACAGUCAGAAAAAUGGUGAUAUAAUACGAGCAUGGUCGGCUAAAAUGAGCUGGAAUAAUGUGUACACACACAUUCACAUUGGCCUCCAAAAAACAUUAAACCACAUACUUUUCUAAAUAGAUGCGCUAGCCUGACAGACAGAAAAGAUAGAAUAGGGAAAAAAGGUAGAGGAUGAAUCCGAAACGUUACGGAUAAGAGUUGGCUGAUAGAUUCAGGUACACAUUUAUUUUUCCAUUUAAACUUAAUGGCUGUAUAGACUGGGGUGUAACUUAAAAAUGAAAGCUUAUAACAGUGCUCUGUCCUGCAAUCUGUCACACACACACACACACACACACACAAGGUUGAAAGGUUGUUUUUUGAGAGCAAGUGUUUUUUUUUAAAUGUAAUCUUCUUAACUGUAAUUGUACUUAAACUGCUACUGUACAUGCUCUUUGCUCAUGUUUGUUUGUGUUGUUGUUCAGAAAUAGAACUCAAACUUACCCAAAGAGGUGCAGACAAUUGAAAGGUGAAACUGUAGAAAAAUAAAUAUUCGCUAAUUAAGCUUUGCAAAAAUUCUUCUGACAUCAUUUUACGUUUAAGUAAAUGUUACAGGAAGUGUAUAUUGUAAA
Long non-coding RNA from Etheostoma spectabile (orangethroat darter), 1657 nucleotides. RefSeq lists it as uncharacterized. NCBI's taxonomy places the organism in Eukaryota, Metazoa, Chordata, Actinopteri, Perciformes, Percidae. The record is from RefSeq and is a predicted model, not a curated record. The transcript is spliced from 2 exons.